RNAcentral lists this ribosomal RNA (440 nucleotides) under uncultured bacterium. RNAcentral describes it as "partial 16S ribosomal RNA". It matches the Rfam family "Bacterial small subunit ribosomal RNA", at positions 338 to 795 of the family's 1533-position model. The record is from RNAcentral.
CCUACGGGAGGCUGCAGUGGGGGAUAUUGCACAAUGGGGGAAACCCUGAUGCAGCGACGCCGCGUGAGUGAAGAAGUAUCUCGGUAUGUAAAGCUCUAUCAGCAGGGAAGUAAAUGACAGUACCUGACCAAGAAGCUCCGGCUAACUACGUGCCAGCAGCCGCGGUAAUACGGAGGGGGCCAGCGUUAUCCGGAUUUACUGGGUGUAAAGGGAGCGUAGACGGUUAUGUAAGUCUGGAGUGAAAGCCCGAGGCCCAACCCCGGGACUGCAUUGGAAACUGUGUAACUGGAGUACAGGAGGGGCAGGCGGAAUUCCUGGUGUAGCGGUGAAAUGCGUAGAUAUCAGGAAGAACACCGACGGCGAAGGCAGCCUGCUGAACUGAAACUGACGUUGAGGCUCGAAAGCGUGGGGAGCAAACAGGAUUAGAUACCCUUGUAGUC